AUGAACGCUGGCGGCAUGCCUAACACAUGCAAGUCGAUCGGUAAGGCUCUUCGGAGUACACGAGAGGCGGACGGCUGAGUAACGCGUAGGAACACACCCUGCAGUGAGGGAUAAGACACCGAAAGGUGUUCUAAUACCGCAUACGGUCUUCGGAUUAAAGCAUUUAUGCGCUGAAGGAGUGGCCUGCGUCAUAUUAGAUAGUUGGUGAGGUAAUGGCUCACCAAGUCGAUGAUGUGUAGCUGGUCUGAGAGGAUGAUCAGCCAGACUGGAACUGAGACACGGUCCAGACUCCUACGGGAGGCAGCAGUGAGGAAUAUUUCACAAUGAGCGAAAGCUUGAUGGAGCAAUGCCGCGUGCAGGAUGAAGGCCCUCGGGUUGUAAACUGCUUUUAUAAGAGAAGAUUAUGACGGUAACUUAUGAAUAAGGGACGGCUAACUACGU
Molecule: ribosomal RNA, 441 nt
Filed under: uncultured bacterium
Lineage: Bacteria
Description: partial 16S ribosomal RNA
Rfam family: Bacterial small subunit ribosomal RNA
Source: RNAcentral